UACGUAGGGGGCUAGCGUUGUCCGGAUUUAUUGGGCGUAAAGAGCUCGUAGGCGGUUCGGCAAGUCACGUGUGAAAUCUCCACGCUUAACGUGGAGGGGUCACGUGAGACUGCUGUGACUAGAGUCCGGUAGGGGAGUGUGGAAUUCCCGGUGUAGCGGUGAAAUGCGCAGAGAUCGGGAGGAACACCCGUAGCGAAGGCGGCACUCUGGGCCGGUACUGACGCUGAGGAGCGAAAGCGUGGGGAGCAAACAGG
RNAcentral lists this ribosomal RNA (254 nucleotides) under uncultured bacterium. RNAcentral describes it as "partial 16S ribosomal RNA". It matches the Rfam family "Bacterial small subunit ribosomal RNA", at positions 524 to 776 of the family's 1533-position model. The record is from RNAcentral.